CCAGACUCCUACGGGAGGCAGCAGUGGGGGAUAUUGCACAAUGGGGGGAACCCUGAUGCAGCGACGCCGCGUGGGUGACGAAGUAUUUCGGUAUGUAAAGCCCUAUCAGCAGGGAAGAAGAUGACAGUACCUGACCAAGAAGCCCCGGCUAACUACGUGCCAGCAGCCGCGGUAAUACGUAGGGGGCAAGCGUUAUCCGGAUUUACUGGGUGUAAAGGGAGCGUAGGUGGCAUGGCAAGCCAGAAGUGAAAACCCGGGGCUUAACCCCGCGGAUUGCUUUUGGAACUGUCAGGCUGGAGUGCAGGAGGGGCAGGCGGAAUUCCUGGUGUAGCGGUGAAAUGCGUAGAUAUCAGGAGGAACACCGGUGGCGAAGGCGGCCUGCUGGACUGUAACUGACACUGAGGCUCGAAAGCGUGGGGAGCAAACAGGAUUAGAUACCCCCGUAG
Molecule: ribosomal RNA, 446 nt
Filed under: uncultured bacterium
Lineage: Bacteria
Description: partial 16S ribosomal RNA
Rfam family: Bacterial small subunit ribosomal RNA
Source: RNAcentral